CCUCUCCAUGAAGAACUUUCACUGUGAUGUCACAAUUAGGAUAGCAACAACUGCUGGUUGCCGAGAAUAUGUGAGAGAUGAAGAAAGGCAGCCAGAGAAGAUCCUUGUAGUUCCUUAUCUCUUGGCUUCCUGCCACCAUCACUUGUGUAGCUGGCAGUACCAUUGCCACACCUGCCGGCAUCACCACAGCCAAUAAGCCUAUUGCAGCUGGGUCCACCAAUACAGCCACCACCACAGGCAAUUCACAAGCCACAACCGCAAGAGCUACCAAGGUCAGGACAGCAGCCAACCCUACUGCCACAACCACCACUAUCAGUCCGUCCAGAGCUGCCAUUAUUACCACAGAAAUCACCAGAAGGACAAACAAAGCCUCAGCAGGCAGUGAAUGAUAAAAGCUCCCAUAC
This is a long non-coding RNA of Dermochelys coriacea (leatherback sea turtle), 404 nucleotides long. RefSeq lists it as uncharacterized. Lineage: Eukaryota; Metazoa; Chordata; Testudines; Dermochelyidae. The record is from RefSeq and is a predicted model, not a curated record. The transcript has 3 exons.